UUAUUAUUUUUAUAAUUAAUAAUUUCUAAUAAAAAUUUAAUUUUAAUAAUAAUAAUCACUAUGAUUUGUCAGAGUUCAGUUACAAUACUAUCACUACUGCCACCAAACAAUUAGUGCUAGCUAUUAAAUUUUUUCACCGUUAGACCUAUUAUUUUGAUCAUUGCUAUCUAUUACAUCAAACUAUUCAACCAAUUACACGCUCACCUUAGAAAAAUAAUUAUCAUCCUAAUCGUACAUUCCUUAAUUCAAUGACGAAAAACCUACAAAUACUAAUUGCUUGUUGUUUUUUUGAUAGAAAGAUCGCAUGCUAUCCGCUUCGUUUAUUUCAUUUAGAAAUAAACUUAGCUGAAAAUGUGAAUCAACUAGGAUUCGAACUUAGAUCUCGGUACCAAGCACCAAGCCCUUUGCCACUUGCGCUAGGCACGGUCAGUAAUACCAAUUGUUUGUCACUAUCAAUAAUAUAGUAGCUUAAUUAGUUCUGAUUUAUGAUAUCUAAAUUAACGGGCUAUGUGUAGAAAAAUUUUGUAGUCCGAAAA
This 536-nucleotide long non-coding RNA is filed under the name Ananas comosus (pineapple). Its description in RNAcentral is "long non-coding RNA (ACOM_LNC012310)". Lineage: Eukaryota; Viridiplantae; Streptophyta; Magnoliopsida; Poales; Bromeliaceae. The record is from RNAcentral.